Molecule: long non-coding RNA, 502 nt
Filed under: Ovis aries (sheep)
Lineage: Eukaryota; Metazoa; Chordata; Mammalia; Artiodactyla; Bovidae
Description: lncRNA (ENSOARG00000025460.1)
Source: RNAcentral
AUGCCUUUGGGGCAACACUGUGUUCCCUGCUCCCCUCCUCAGACUAGAUGCGGAGGAAGGCAAUCUCCUGUUAGGUGUGAAGGGCUCCGUGGCCCCACCCCUCACAGUACCUGUCGGGGCCUUGGUGUCGGCCUUCCUGCUCUCCCGGUCCCCCUUCUGGGCCCACACGUGGACCGUGUACUCCACGCCCGGCCUCAGGCCCGUCAGGACGGUGCUGCUCUGCUCCUUCCCCACUGGAACCUCCCUGGUGUCUCCGUCAGCAGAGGUGUAGCGCACCAGGUACCUGUCGAUGACGGCCUGCACCGGGUCCCAGGAGAUGGUGGCCGUGUUCUCCGUCACCUGCUUGGUCACCAGGUUUUGGGGGCUGUCAAUGUCUGAAAAGACAACAACAAUCAAUAAGCAUUAGUAAUAGGCCACAGAGUGGAGAAAAUCACAGCCACCUUGCUGGGGGUGACACCCUUUCAUGUUUCAUGAGAUUUCCAUCCUGCAUGCUCUAACUGCA